AUACGUAGGGGACGAGCGUUGUCCGGAAUUACUGGGCGUAAAGGGCGCGCAGGCGGAUAUUUAAGUCAGCUGUAAAAGGCAUGAGCUCAACUCAUGUAUGCGGUUGAAACUGGGUAUCUAGAGUGCUGGAGAGGUAGGCGGAAUUCCCGGUGUAGCGGUGAAAUGCGUAUAUAUCGGGAAGAACACCAGGGGCGAAGGCGGCUUACUGGCCAGCAACUGACGCUGAGGCGCGAAAGCCAGGGGAGCGAACGGGAUUAGAUACCCGGGUAGUCCUGGCCGUAAACGAUGAAUGCUAGGUGUGGGUGUCGAGAGGCAUCCGUGCCGGAGUUAACGCGAUAAGCUUUCCGCCUUGGGAGUACGCCGGCAACGGUGAAACGCAAAUGAAUUGACGGGG
Molecule: ribosomal RNA, 394 nt
Filed under: uncultured bacterium
Lineage: Bacteria
Description: partial 16S ribosomal RNA
Rfam family: Bacterial small subunit ribosomal RNA
Source: RNAcentral